GAAAACAACUAACAAGGAUUCCCUCAGUAACGGCGAGUGAACAGGGAAAAGCCCAGCACCGAAGCCUGUGGCCAUUUGGUUACUAGGCAAUGUGGUGUUCAGGUUGUUCCGCAGAAGUUCUGCUCCACCCUAAGUCCAUAAAUGAGUACGGUAGUAUGGACAUGGCCCAUAGAGGGUGUAAGGCCCGUGGGGGUGGAGAUUCGGUAGGCCAGAACUUCUCUGGAUAGACCUUGGAGUCGGGUUGUUUGUGAAUGCAGCCCAAAGUGGGUGGUAAACUCCAUCCAAGGCUAAAUACUAACACGAGUCCGAUAGCGAACAAGUACCGURAGGGAAAGUUGAAAAGUACUUUGAAGAGAGAGUAAACAGUGCGUGAAACCGCUCAGAGGUAAACGGGUGGAGUUGAACUGCAAGCUUUGAGAAUUCAGCUGAUGAGUGUGGUUUGAGCUUGGUCAAAUUGGUGGACUCCGGGGUCUGCGUAUUAGCAGGUCAGUGCCUUCGGGCAUUGGUGCGCGAUACACUUAUCAAGUGUUGUGCGCCCUGGUUGUUCUUCGGCCUGCUUGUCAGUGCACUUUCUCAGAGUAUUCACCACGACCGGCGUUGCUGUCUGGCUGCUUUGGUUAAACCGGUCUUGCAUUGUCCUUGCGGCUUUGUUUGAGCGGGAUGGCAGGUAGCUCGUUGACUUGCUUGCAGGUUUUCGAGUGUAAUCAGCUGACCUUUGCGGUUCUGUGCAGUGCGUCGGAGACGGCGGCUUGUGGUGUGUGCAUGCGUUCGGAUUGCUGGCUAAUUCGAGUUUGGUUAUCACGUAUUGCUUGUUAAAUCAAGCCUGGUAAUAUCUCGGGUUAGUUCGGUGAUCUGUUGCGUGUGUUUCACUUUCCAAGGGCCAAUAGUCUGUGGUGUAGUGGUAGACUAUCCACCCGACCCGUCUUGAAACACGGACCAAGGAGAGUAACAUGUACGCGAGUCAUUGGGCGUUACGAAACCCAAAGGCGCAGUGAAAGUAAAGGCUUGACUCGUUCAGGCUGAGGUGAGAUCCUGUCGUUUCUCACGCGUGGUACUUCCAAGCAUCGAGCGGCAGGCGCAUCACCGGCCCGUCCCAUGGCAUUUGUUUCCGAACAGUUUUCGGUCGGGGCGGAGCAUGAGCGUACACGUUGAGACCCGAAAGAUGGUGAACUAUGCUUGCGCAGGUUGAAGCCAGAGGAAACUCUGGUGGAGGACCGUAGCGAUUCUGACGUGCAAAUCGAUCGUCAAACGUGAGUAUAGGGCGAAAGACUA
Molecule: ribosomal RNA, 1272 nt
Filed under: Cephalogonimus retusus
Lineage: Eukaryota; Metazoa; Platyhelminthes; Trematoda; Plagiorchiida; Cephalogonimidae
Description: eukaryotic LSU rRNA
Rfam family: Eukaryotic large subunit ribosomal RNA
Source: RNAcentral